RNAcentral lists this ribosomal RNA (253 nucleotides) under uncultured bacterium. RNAcentral's name for it is "partial 16S ribosomal RNA". It matches the Rfam family "Bacterial small subunit ribosomal RNA", at positions 524 to 776 of the family's 1533-position model. The record is from RNAcentral.
UACGUAGGGGGCAAGCGUUGUCCGGAUUCAUUGGGCGUAAAGCGCGUGUAGGCGGCCAGGUAGGUCCGAUGUGAAAUCUGGAGGCUCAACCUCCAGCGGUCAUUGGAAACCAUCUGGCUAGAGUCCGGAAGAGGAGAGUGGAAUUCCUGGUGUAGCGGUGAAAUGCGCAGAUAUCAGGAAGAACACCAAUGGCGAAGGCAGCUCUCUGGGACGGUACUGACGCUGAGACGCGAAAGCGUGGGGAGCGAACAGG